AGAACGAACGCUGGCGGCGCGCCUAACACAUGCAAGUCGAACGGGAAUCCGGGGCAACCCGGUAGUAAAGUGGCAAACGGGUGAGGAAUACAUGGGUAACCUACCCUUGAGAAGGGAAUAACCCGCCGAAAGGUGAGUUAAUACCCUAUACGCUAUCUUUUUUUCGAAAAGGAUAGGAAAGCCGGGUCGAGGACCUGGUACUCAAGGAGGGGCUCAUGUCCUAUCAGCUUGUUGGUGGGGUAACGGCCUACCAAGGCUACGACGGGUAGCUGGUCUGAGAGGAUGAUCAGCCACACUGGCACUGAGAUACGGGCCAGACUCCUACGGGAGGCAGCAGUGAGGAAUAUUGCGCAAUGGGCGAAAGCCUGACGCAGCGACGCCGCGUGGGGAUGAAGGUUUUCGGAUUGUAAACCCCUUUCAUGAGGAAAGAUAAAGUGGGUAACCACUUAGACGGUACCUCAAGAAGAAGCCACGGCUAACUUCGUG
RNAcentral lists this ribosomal RNA (486 nucleotides) under uncultured bacterium. Its description in RNAcentral is "bacterial SSU rRNA". It matches the Rfam family "Bacterial small subunit ribosomal RNA", at positions 26 to 507 of the family's 1533-position model. The record is from RNAcentral.